ACGGAAGGCAGCAGUGGGGAAUAUUGGGCAAUGGGCGCAAGCCUGACCCAGCAACGCCGCGUGAAGGAUGAAGGUCUUCGGAUUGUAAACUUCUUUGAUCAGGGACGAAUAAAUGACGGUACCUGAAGAACAAGUCACGGCUAACUACGUGCCAGCAGCCGCGGUAAUACGUAGGUGACAAGCGUUAUCCGGAUUUACUGGGUGUAAAGGGCGUGUAGGCGGUUUGGCAAGUCAGAAGUGAAAUUCCCGGGCUUAACUUGGGCGCUGCUUCUGAAACUGCUUUACUUGAGUACUGGAGAGGAUAGUGGAAUUCCUAGUGUAGCUGUAAAAUGCGUAGAUAUAAGGAAGAACACCAGUGGCGAAGGCGAUCUACUGGACAGUAACUGACGCUGAGGCGCGAAAGCGUGGGGAGCAAACAGGAUUAGAUACCCUGGUA
This 436-nucleotide ribosomal RNA is filed under the name uncultured Saccharofermentans sp. RNAcentral describes it as "partial 16S ribosomal RNA". It matches the Rfam family "Bacterial small subunit ribosomal RNA", at positions 341 to 792 of the family's 1533-position model. The record is from RNAcentral. Lineage: Bacteria; Bacillati; Bacillota; Clostridia; Eubacteriales; Oscillospiraceae.